RNAcentral lists this non-coding RNA (66 nucleotides) under unclassified sequences. RNAcentral describes it as "int-alpA RNA". It matches the Rfam family "int-alpA RNA". Rfam says of the family: Acidobacteria (1 example), Planctomycetes (1 example), Proteobacteria. Environment (Lake Washington) The record is from Rfam by way of RNAcentral.
GCCUCCAAUAGCCCGACGGGGCGAAAAGCGGAAGCCUUCAUCGCCUUUGGUCGCCUCUUUUGAAGG